This 1223-nucleotide ribosomal RNA is filed under the name uncultured bacterium. Its description in RNAcentral is "bacterial SSU rRNA". It matches the Rfam family "Bacterial small subunit ribosomal RNA", at positions 138 to 1361 of the family's 1533-position model. The record is from RNAcentral.
GGGGGAUAACUACUCGAAAGAUUAGCUAAUACCGCAUACGACCUGAGGGUGAAAGUGGGGGACCGCCAGGCCUCAUGCUAUAGGAGCGGCCGAUGUCUGAUUAGCUAGUUGGUGAGGUAAAGGCUCACCAAGGCGACGAUCAGUAGCUGGUCUGAGAGGACGAUCAGCCACACUGGGACUGAGACACGGCCCAUACUCCUACGGGAGGCAGCAGUGGGGAAUUUUGGACAAUGGGCGAAAGCCUGAUCCAGCAAUGCCGCGUGUGUGAAGAAGGCCUUCGGGUUGUAAAGCACUUUUGUCCGGAAAGAAAUGGCUCUGGUUAAUACCUGGGGUCGAUGACGGUACCGGAAGAAUAAGGACCGGCUAACUACGUGCCAGCAGCCGCGGUAAUACGUAGGGUCCAAGCGUUAAUCGGAAUUACUGGGCGUAAAGCGUGCGCAGGCGGUUGUGCAAGACCGAUGUGAAAUCCCCGAGCUUAACUUGGGAAUUGCAUUGGUGACUGCACGGCUAGAGUGUGUCAGAGGGGGGUAGAAUUCCACGUGUAGCAGUGAAAUGCGUAGAGAUGUGGAGGAAUACCGAUGGCGAAGGCAGCCCCCUGGGAUAACACUGACGCUCAUGCACGAAAGCGUGGGGAGCAAACAGGAUUAGAUACCCUGGUAGUCCACGCCCUAAACGAUGUCAACUAGUUGUUGGGGAUUCAUUUCCUUAGUAACGUAGCUAACGCGUGAAGUUGACCGCCUGGGGAGUACGGUCGCAAGAUUAAAACUCAAAGGAAUUGGCGGGGACCCGCACAAGCGGUGGAUGAUGUGGAUUAAUUCGAUGCAACGCGAAAAACCUUACCUACCCUUGUCAUGCCACUAAUGAAGCAGAGAUGCAUUACGUGCUCGAACGAGAAACUGGACACAGGUGCUGCAUGGCUGUCGUCAGCUCGUGUCGUGAGAGGUUGGGUUAAGUCCCGCAACGAGCGCAACCCUUGUCUCUAGUUGCUACGAAAGGGCACUCUAGAGAGACUGCCGGUGACAAACCGGAGGAAGGUGGGGAUGACGUCAAGUCCUCAUGGCCCUUAUGGGUAGGGCUUCACACGUCAUACAAUGGUGCAUACAGAGGGUAGCCAAGCCGCGAGGCGGAGCUAAUCCCAGAAAAUGCAUCGUAGUCCGGAUCGUAGUCUGCAACUCGACUACGUGAAGCUGGAAUCGCUAGUAAUCGCGGAUCAGCAUGCCGCG